CCCGGAAGGACCCUCAGGGCCCGCAGUUUACAGGGUGAAAGUCUCCCAGCUCCUCUGGGAAGGGAGGAGGAGGGUUCUCGGUGAGCGGCUGCCCCCUCGUCCAGGUGACCGACGGCUGCGGGAGCCCCCUGCACCGGCUGCGCUCGCCUUUGCACUCAGGCCCGGGGUCCCCGGCCGGGGGCUCUUUCUGCUUGGAUCCUCCGGGGUUGCGGCGCAGCCUGGACGAGGACGAGCCGCCGCCCUCGCCGCUCACACGCUACCGGCCCCUGCACAACGCUGCGUCGCACGAGGGCCUGGCCGCCGCCUCCUGCUCUCCGCCGCGCUCCGCGCCCUCCUCCGACAGCUCCCCCAGCUUCGUGCGCCGCCACCCGCGCGCAGAGCCGCACAGCGAAGAUGACAGCCGCGAUGCCAGUCCUCCCGAGCCCGCCAGCCCCACCAUCGGCCUGGAUAAGAAGACUCGCCGAAAGUUCCUGGACCUGGGGGUCACCCUGCGCCGAGCAUCCACGGGCAAGAGCCGGAAGGAGAAAGGCAGCAACCGCCUGUCCAUGGGCAGCAGGGAGUCAGUGGAGGGGUCCGGCAGGUCAGGGGGCUCCCCGUUCCUGCCUUUUUCCUGGUUCACAGACAGCGGCAAGGGCUCAGCAUCCUCGGGUAGCACCACCUCCCCUACCUGCUCCCCUAAACACGAGGGCUUCAGCCCUAAGAAGUCAGCUUCCCAGGAAUCCACUCUGAGUGAUGACUCCACGCCCCCCAGCAGCAGCCCCAAGAUCCCCAGUGGGCCCCGGCAGGAGGCCAAAUGUUCUUACCCCUACCACACACUGUCUCAGUCUUCAGACGAGUUCCUGGAUGAACCCCUCCCCCCUGUCCACCAUUGGACCAGCCAGCAGGUGGGCCAGUGGCUGCAGAGCCUCAACCUGGAACAGUAUGCUGCCGAGUUUGCUGCACGGCAGGUAGACGGGCCGCAGCUGCUGCAGCUGGACGGAAGCAAACUAAAGAGCCUGGGGCUCAGCAACUCGCAUGACCGGGCACUGGUGAAGCGCAAGUUGAAGGAGAUGGCAGCGGCUGCCGAGAAGGAGCGCAAGGCCCAGGAGAAGGCUGCGCGGCAGCGGGAGAAGCUCCGGCGCCGAGAGCAGGAGGCCAAGAAGAGCUAGGGGAGGGUGCACAGGCGCUGGCGCCCGGCAGGGGCAGCCACUGGCUCCGCGGGCACAGGCCUCACCAGGGAGGCUGGACCUGGGCACUGCACUUGGGCUAGCCUGGUCCCACGCUCUCAGGGGGGACAUGCCCUCUCUUACCCUGUCACUUGGUCUAGACCCAGAGCCCCCAGAAAGGGAGACCCCAGGGAGAGGGCCUAGUAAUAAAUCCUAUUUUGAGGACUUGUUUGGCACAGAGUUCCUGGGGGAGGAGCAGAUGAAGGGGAGAGGGCAGAGAGGCCAGGGCUGAGGCAAGUCUAGGAGCCUGGGUCAGGCUGUCCCAUUGCCCUCAGGCCAUCGUGGGGCUGGGGUGGAGGGGAGCUAGGAGGCCUGCCUGCCUGCUUGCCUGCCAGAGGCCCUGAGGCCGGGCCCCAGGGCUCCGAGCUGGGCUGGGCAUUUCAGCAGGGCCCGGUGUGGGAGCGGCUCCUCUCCACUCUCCCAGGGGGCUGUGUGGUGGGAGAGCUCUGUCCUGCUCCCACAGGAGGCCAGUGGGCACUGCAGCAAGUCGCACUCAGGGUAGACUCCCAGCCAAACUCCUCAACAGGAGAGCAGAGAAAGCAGCCUGGGGCGAGUGCAGUCUUUGCCAGGACUCAAGAGGAGAGGAUGAACACCCCCUUCUCCCUCUCCCCUCCUCUGUCCUGUGGGUCCCAGGGGGUGAGAUGACAUCCACACAGGUCUGCCUCUCAGGGCCCAUUCAAGACCCGGUCUUUGACCCAUUCUCCAAGCCAGGACUCCCUUCACUUCCUGCUGCUUCCUCAGAGGGCACCUAAGCCCUCUUUGGGAGCUGAGCAAACAGGAACUGAUAGGGACAGAGGACACCACUUCCACCAGCCAAAGCCUAGGAGCUGCUGACCUGGUCAGCCCUCACCCCAGCCAGGCAGAGAGGCAAAACCUGGGGGUCCCUGGCAGCUACGAGAUUGGAAAGGUUCAUCAGCUCUCCCCCAUCUGCCCCAGGCAUUGUCAGGGAAUCAGUGGGCUCAGAACUGGCAGACGGUGCAAGCUCUGCUUCCCUGGGCCACACUGAGGGCUGGGGCCAGCUCCCUGGAUGGGGGUGGAGUUUACCAGCAGCCUGGGGACAGCAUGUGUCCUUUUUAGGAAAUGUCCUUGGAGGAAGUGUUCAUGUGUGGCGCUGGUCAGCAGCUAGCUCCGCUUCCAGGACACUGGUCAGAGUUACCGAUGAGGCCAGGGGGCUCCUGCUUGGAAACCCCUCCAGCUCCUCCCAUCUGCCCAGAGCGACAGAUGGCACCAAUGCAUGCUGGCUCCCUCAUUCCUGCCCAGGGGCUGUGGCUUAUGGCCAGCACCCUGUACCUGGGACUCAGCCCUUAUCCCCCCUCUGCUAUCUGUGCUGGGAGAGGGGGCUUCGGCGGGAAACAGAUAUGAGGACACUGGCACCAUCUGGGCCUGGUGGCAGGGCCAUGGGAGGUUGGAAGGCACCCACAUCCUUAAAGCCAUCAGUAGCUAUAGUGGGUGCCCACCUGCAUGUGAAGGGGAGGCAGUUCUCAAUUUAUUUCAAUAA
RNAcentral lists this small RNA (2703 nucleotides) under Pongo abelii (Sumatran orangutan). RNAcentral describes it as "retained intron". Lineage: Eukaryota; Metazoa; Chordata; Mammalia; Primates; Hominidae. The record is from RNAcentral.